Quercus lobata is the source of this 2196-nucleotide RNA transcript. It is a transcript of the gene named rab escort protein 1-like, with no coding region annotated. NCBI's taxonomy places the organism in Eukaryota, Viridiplantae, Streptophyta, Magnoliopsida, Fagales, Fagaceae. The transcript is spliced from 9 exons. The record is from RefSeq and is a predicted model, not a curated record.
UUUUGUUCUCUCUAAACAUUUUCUAGGAGCUCAAAAAUUGUGCUUUCCAGCGGGCGAGUCCAUCACACUUGCCGCCAUGAGCGAAGAUGCAUCAUCAUACCCUCCAAUCGAGCCGACCAACUUCGAUCUAAUCCUCCUCGGUACAGGCCUACCAGAAUCCGUGAUCGCCGCCGCCGCUUCCGCCAACGGCAAAACCGUCCUCCACCUCGACCCCAACCCAUUCUACGGCUCCAACUACACCUCCCUCUCCCUCCAAGACCUCUCCUCUUUCCUCAUUUCCCAUUCUGCCCCUCCUCCCUCUCCGCCCUCCGCCCCAUCCGACGGCCACGAUUUCACCCUCGCGGCUCUCGCCGCCCGCCCCCUCUUCUCCCACGUCAAAAUUUCCUCUUUUGCCCCCGACGUCCUCGGCGAAGAACAUUCCAGAAAAUUCAACGUCGACUUGUGCGGACCUAGGGUUUUGUUCUGCGCCGAUAAAUCCGUGGAUCUGAUACUGAAAUCUGGAGCCAACCAGUACAUAGAGUUCAAGGGCGUUGACGCGAGCUUCGUGUAUAGCGAGAAUGGGAAAUUGACUAGCGUGCCGGACUCUCGGGCCGCGAUAUUCAAGGAUAAGAGCUUGGGGCUGACGGAGAAGAACCAGCUGAUGAGGUUCUUCAAGCUGGUUCAGCAGCACUUGGACGGUGAAGGCGGCGGUGAGAAUGAGAGCGGGAAUUCAAGGAUUUCAGAGCAGGAUUUGGAGAGUCCUUUCGUCGAGUUCUUGAACAAAAUGCGGUUGCCUCCAAAGAUAAAAUCGAUUAUUCUGUAUGCUAUAGCAAUGGCCGAUUGUGAUCAGGACAACGUGGAGGUUUGUGAAGAUGUACUUAAGACAAAAGAUGGUAUAGAUCGUUUAACUCUCUACAAUGCAUCGGUUGGCAGGUUUCCAAAUGCACUUGGGGCUUUUCUGUAUCCAGUUUAUGGUCACGGGGAACUACCACAGGCUUUUUGCCGUCGUGCCGCUGUCAAGGGUUGCAUUCAUGUUCUGCGAAUGCCAGUAAUUGCCAUACUUAUGGACAAGUGUACUGGGCAUUAUAAAGGAGUUAGAUUAUCUUCAGGUCAAGACUUAUUCAGCCAUCAGCUAAUCCUGGAUCCAUCCUUCAUAGUUCAGUUGCCAUUAACUUCAUCUCCACCAGGUCUGGGAAGUAUUAAAAGGAAAGUGGCACGGGGAAUAUGCAUUACAAAGAGUUCCUUAAGGCCUGAAACAUCAAAUUUUCUGGUGGUAUAUCCUCCUAGAUCUUUGUUCCCUGAACAGGUUACGUCAAUUCGAGCUCUCCAAAUAGGUAGCGAUUUAGCUGUUUGUCCUUUGGGCAUGUUUGUAAUAUACUUUUCCACAUUGUGUCAUGAUGCCAACCAAGGUCAAAAGUUACUAAAUGCUGCCAUGGAUUCUCUUCUCACACUACCUGAGUCUGCACAUCCUGAAAGUAGUACAACAGUUCACAGUGAAAAUUCAGCAGAAGAAAAGCCCACCGUACUUUGGAAGGCAUUGUAUAUUCAGUAGCUUACCAUGGACCACAUUGAAUCUAUCAGCUCCACUCCCAUGCCAGAUGGAAAUCUUAAUUACAAUAAUAUUUUGCUUGCAACUUUGAAGCUAUUUCAGAAGAUGUAUCCCCUUGAAGAAGUCUUUCCAGAGACAGCCUCGCCUGAGAAUCCUGAGGAUGAUAAUGAGUUCAGUCUAGAGAGCUAACGAUGCUUUGCUGGACUUGAUGACAUUAUCCAUCUUACCACGGCUACGAAUCAUCCACAACCUAUUUUGCCCACCAAUGCUUUGGCUGCAGGAAAUUGCUAAACUGUGGAUGGUUUGAAGUGCUGCUUAUUGUACUUGAAAGAGAGAAUUCACAAUCAACAAUCUACUUCCUCAAAUGUUUUCGCAAAUUUCUGCAGUAUCAUUUAAAAAAAGAAAAGAAAAAGAAACAAAUGCAGAUCUAGUUUUUUGUCAUUUCAGAAAUUGUUAUACCAUUAUUCAACUCUACCUAAACUGCCCAACGGUGGCUUCCGUGGCACCUGUAUUAAAGUGUAAACGAUCAUACAUGCAUACAUACAAAUUCUUGUAGGAUGUCACAGAGUUUUGUAAUUUAUUUUUUAUUUUUUAUCUGAGGACCCAUGGUAGAUUGGCUGGUGUGUUUUGAUUACUUUUCAUAUAUGUAAGUCAUUGUUAUUAUUUGA